CGGGGCGUGGCGCAGUUUGGUAGCGCGUUCGGUUCGGGACUGAAAGGCCGCAGGUUCAAAUCCUGUCGCCCCGA
This 74-nucleotide transfer RNA is filed under the name Armatimonadota bacterium. Its description in RNAcentral is "Armatimonadetes bacterium (rhizosphere metagenome) tRNA-Pro". It matches the Rfam family "tRNA". Rfam says of the family: Transfer RNA (tRNA) molecules are approximately 80 nucleotides in length. The record is from RNAcentral. Lineage: Bacteria; Bacillati; Armatimonadota.